Molecule: ribosomal RNA, 1504 nt
Filed under: metagenome
Description: SSU rRNA
Rfam family: Eukaryotic small subunit ribosomal RNA
Source: RNAcentral
UCUGGUUGAUUCUGCUAGUAGUCAUAUGCUUGUUUCAAGGACUAAGCCAUGCAUGCCUCAGAAUAACUGCACUGCAGGAGUCUGCGCAUGGCUCAUUACAUCAGACGCAAUCUGCCGCAAAAAUGUUGCGGUUUCCGCAAAAUUGGAUACCUUGGCGAAACGCCAAGCUAAUACAUGAAUAUACAUGGGCGUUCUCCAUCCACGCGGCGUCGUUUCGGCGGCGUCGCAGCGAGUCGCCUUGCGAAUGAAUGAAAUUAAAACCAAUGCCUCGCAAGGGGCAGCAACACCAAGCAGUGUUGAAUCAAUUCAUUCCGUGCGAAAGCUGGUUUACCAGCGUCUUUUGAUGAACAACUGCCCUAUCAGCCAGUGAUGGCCGUGUAGUGGACUGCCAUGGCGUUGACGGGAGCGGGGGAUUAGGGUUCGAUUCCGGAGAGGGAGCCUGAGAAACGGCUACCACUUCUACGGAGGGCAGCAGGCGCGCAAAUUGCCCAAUGCCAAAAAAUGAUGAGGCAGCGAAAAGAAAUAGGUCUCCUAAACACCUCAACGGUGUUUGGGAGUUGCAAUGGGGGAUAUUUAAAGCCAUCCAACAUCGAGUAUCAAUUGGAGGACAAGUCUGGUGCCAGCACCCGCGGUAAUUCCAGCUCCAAGAGCGUAUAUUAACGCUGUUGCUGUUAAAGGGUUCGUAGUUGAAUUGAGGGCCGCCAAGGCAACGAUCAAGUCCCUUCCUCCGGAUCGGUGACCAUCGUUCUUGCGGUCAGAGAACAUCAGAAACAGAUACCACGGGAUCGUUACCUGCCGGAUUCGCAUGCAAUGUAUGCAGGCAGGCGUCCGUGUGUCUUACUGUGACUAAAAAAGCGCGACCAAAGCAGUCGUUCGACAUGAAUUUGAAAGCAUGGGAUAACAAAGGAGCAGCCUAUGGGCUACCGUUUCGGCUUUUGUUGGUUUUAAAGGUCUGUGGGAGAUUAUGGAUGCGCACGACAAGCGGUUAGGGGUUCGUCCCCACGCCUCCGUCGCGCGGGGCUUUCGGGUUCCGUCGGCGGCUUGCGUCGUCCAGGAAUGAAGGAGGGUUGUUCGGGGGAGAACGUACUUGAGCGUGAGAGGUGAAAUUCUUAGACCGCUCAAAGACGAACUACAGCGAAGGCAUUCUCCAAGGAUACCUUCCUCAAUCAAGAACCAAAGUGUGGAGAUCGAAGAUGAUUAGAGACCAUUGUAGUCCACACCACAAACGGUGACCCCCACGAAUUGGGGAGUAUUUGGGCGAGGUGGGCCAAGUUCGCUUGGUGCCAUCCCCCAAAAGAGAAUCAAAUUUACGUGCAUAUUCCAAACGGGCUUCGGCCCUCUAACGGGAAUAUCCUCAGCACGUUCUCUUUUUUUCACGCGAAAGCUCGAGGUUAUAGUCUCAGGGGGGAGUACGUUCGCAAGAGUGAAACUUAAGGAAAUUGACGGAAUGGCACCACAAGACGUGGAGCGCGCGGUUUAAUUUGACUCAACACGGGGAACUUUA